RNAcentral lists this small RNA (125 nucleotides) under Marmota monax (woodchuck). Lineage: Eukaryota; Metazoa; Chordata; Mammalia; Rodentia; Sciuridae. The record is from RNAcentral.
GCUGGGCACGGUGGUGCACACCUGUAAUCCCAGCAACUCAGGAGGCUGAGGUAGGAGAAUCUCAUGUAAAAACCAGCCUCAGCAAAAAGCAAGGCACUAAGCAACUCAGUGAGAUCUUGUCUCUA